UGGGGAAUUUUCCGCAAUGGGGGAAACCCUGACGGAGCAACGCCGCGUGGAGGAUGAAGGCCCUCGGGUCGUAAACUCCUGUCGAUCGGGAAGAAUGCGUCCGACCCAAUACGUCGGCACGUUGACUGUACCGGUGGAGGAAGCCACGGCUAACUCUGUGCCAGCAGCCGCGGUAAGACAGAGGGUGCGAACGUUGCUCGGAUUUACUGGGCGUAAAGCGCGUGUAGGCGGACUCGCAAGUCGGUUGUGAAAUCCCUGGGCUUAACCUAGGAACUGCAUCCGAAACUGCUUGUCUUGAGUAAUGGAGAGGGUGGCGGAAUUCCCGGUGUAGAGGUGGAAUUCGUAGAUAUCGGGAGGAACAUCAGUGGCGAAGGCGGCCACCUGGACAUUUACUGACGCUGAGACGCGAAAGCGUGGGGAGCAAACAGGAUUAGAUACCCUGGUAGUCCACGCCGUAAACGAUGAGAACUAGGUGCAGCGGAUAUUGACCUCUGCUGUGCCGUAGCUAACGCGUUAAGUUCUCCGCCUGGGGAGUACGGCCGCAAGGCUAAAACUCAAAGGAAUUGACGG
RNAcentral lists this ribosomal RNA (570 nucleotides) under uncultured delta proteobacterium. RNAcentral's name for it is "bacterial SSU rRNA". It matches the Rfam family "Bacterial small subunit ribosomal RNA", at positions 355 to 916 of the family's 1533-position model. The record is from RNAcentral. Lineage: Bacteria; Deltaproteobacteria.